GGAUAUGAGGGUGAUCUGGCUGUGCCAUCUGUCACUCCAUCUAUUUUCAGGGUUGAUUUAGCUGAUCUGCUUGGCUAGGUGGGUAUCCCCUUCCUCCCUCUCUGCUCCGUAUGUGCUGGUUCCGUAGUGCUGGUUUUGAAGAGGACAGUCAUCUCCAAACAGAGGCAGAUUGGUCUUCAGUUUAGGGUAUAUGACCCGUGAUCCCCUGCUCAAAGCUCCAAACAAGGGGAAGAGAGAAAACCUGGACAUUUGGCAACAGGGCAGGGUGGGGUGGAAGGCAGUGUCUAAGGGCUGAAACUCAUCAAGGAGCGCUCAGGAGAACAUAUGUGUGUCAGCAUGAG
This 341-nucleotide small nuclear RNA is filed under the name Erinaceus europaeus (western European hedgehog). RNAcentral describes it as "7SK RNA (ENSEEUG00000021055.1)". It matches the Rfam family "7SK RNA". Rfam says of the family: 7SK was discovered as an abundant small nuclear RNA in the mid-70s but a possible function has only recently been suggested. Two independent studies have found that 7SK RNA binds the CDK9/cyclin T complex (known as elongation factor P-TEFb). The record is from RNAcentral. Lineage: Eukaryota; Metazoa; Chordata; Mammalia; Eulipotyphla; Erinaceidae.